This 497-nucleotide ribosomal RNA is filed under the name uncultured bacterium. Its description in RNAcentral is "partial 16S ribosomal RNA". It matches the Rfam family "Bacterial small subunit ribosomal RNA", at positions 28 to 507 of the family's 1533-position model. The record is from RNAcentral.
GAUGAACGCUGGCGGCGUGCCUAAUACAUGCAAGUCGAGCGAACAGACGAGGAGCUUGCUCCUCUGACGUUAGCGGCGGACGGGUGAGUAACACGUGGAUAACCUACCUAUAAGACUGGGAUAACUUCGGGAAACCGGAGCUAAUACCGGAUAAUAUAUUGAACCGCAUGGUUCAAUAGUGAAAGACGGUUUUGCUGUCACUUAUAGAUGGAUCCGCGCCGCAUUAGCUAGUAGGUAAGGUAACGGCUUACCAAGGCAACGAUGCGUAGCCGACCUGAGAGGGUGAUCCGCCACACCGGAACUGGAACCCGGUCCAGAAUCCUACGGGAGGCAGCAGUAGGGAAUCUUCCGCAAUGGGCGAAAGCCUGACGGAGCAACGCCGCGUGAGUGAUGAAGGUCUUCGGAUCGUAAAACUCUGUUAUUAGGGAAGAACAAAUGUGUAAGUAACUAUGCACGUCUUGACGGUACCUAAUCAGAAAGCCACGGCUAACUACGUG